UCUGUGACGAUUUUGACGGUAGCAGAUGAAUAAGGAUCGGCUAACUCCGUGCCAGCAGCCGCGGUCAUACGGAGGAUCCCAGCGUUAUCCGGAAUUACUGGGCGUAAAGAGUUGCGUAGGUGGCAUAACAAGUAGAGCGUGAAAGCGUGUGGCUCAACCAUAUACACAUGUUCUAAACUGUUAAGCUAGAGUAUAAGAGAGGUAGCUGGAAUUCCUAGUGUAGGAGUGAAAUCCGUAGAUAUUAG
RNAcentral lists this ribosomal RNA (245 nucleotides) under uncultured prokaryote. RNAcentral's name for it is "partial 16S ribosomal RNA". It matches the Rfam family "Bacterial small subunit ribosomal RNA", at positions 457 to 700 of the family's 1533-position model. The record is from RNAcentral.